This 473-nucleotide ribosomal RNA is filed under the name uncultured bacterium. RNAcentral's name for it is "bacterial SSU rRNA". It matches the Rfam family "Bacterial small subunit ribosomal RNA", at positions 28 to 472 of the family's 1533-position model. The record is from RNAcentral.
GACGAACGCUGGCGGCGUGCUUAACACAUGCAAGUCGAACGGAGCGAAUGAAAGCUUGCUUUUAUGAGCUUAGUGGCAAACGGGUGAGUAACACGUAGGCAAUCUGCCGACAGGAUGGGGACAACAUUCCGAAAGGAAUGCUAAUACCGAAUGAAGUCGAGGGAAGGCAUCUUCUCUCGAUGAAAGAUGGCCUCUAUAUAUAAGCUAUCACCUGUCGAUGGGCCUGCGUCUGAUUAGCUGGUAGGUGAGGUAACGGCUCACCUAGGCGACGAUCAGUAGCCGGUCUGAGAGGAUGAACGGCCACAUUGGGACUGAGACACGGCCCAGACUCCUACGGGAGGCAGCAGUGGGGAAUCUUCCGCAAUGGGCGCAAGCCUGACGGAGCAACGCCGCGUGAGUGAAGAAGGUCUUCGGAUCGUAAAGCUCUGUUGAUGGGGACGAACGUGCCUAAUGCGAAUAGUAUUAGGUAANGA